GGAGAGGUCGCAUAGUGGUCUAGUGCGGUUGCUUGGAGAGCAACUAACCCGUAAGGGUUCGCGAGUUCGAAUCUCGCCCUCUCCG
Molecule: transfer RNA, 85 nt
Filed under: Candidatus Terrybacteria bacterium RIFCSPLOWO2_01_FULL_40_23
Lineage: Bacteria; Candidatus Terryibacteriota
Description: tRNA-Ser
Rfam family: tRNA
About the family: Transfer RNA (tRNA) molecules are approximately 80 nucleotides in length. Their secondary structure includes four short double-helical elements and three loops (D, anti-codon, and T loops).
Source: RNAcentral